This 229-nucleotide ribosomal RNA is filed under the name uncultured bacterium. RNAcentral describes it as "partial 16S ribosomal RNA". It matches the Rfam family "Bacterial small subunit ribosomal RNA", at positions 104 to 334 of the family's 1533-position model. The record is from RNAcentral.
CGGGGUGAGUAAUGUCUGGGAAACUGCCCGAUGGAGGGGGAUAACUACUGGAAACGGUAGCUAAUACCGCAUAACGUCGCAAGACCAAAGAGGGGGACCUUAGGGCCUCUUGCCAUCGGAUGUGCCCAGAUGGGAUUAGCUAGUAGGUGGGGUAAUGGCUCACCUAGGCGACGAUCCCUAGCUGGUCUGAGAGGAUGACCAGCCACACUGGAGCUGAGACACGGUCCAG